GUGCCAGCCGCCGCGGUAAUACAGAGACUGCAAGCGUUAUUCGGAUUCACUGGGCGUAAAGGGUGCGCAGGCGGCCAAGUGUGUGAGGUGUGAAAGCCCGGGGCUUAACCCCGGAAUUGCACCUCAAACUACUUGGCUAGAGCAUUGGAGAGGGUAGCAGAAUUCACGGUGUAGCAGUGAAAUGCGUAGAUAUCGUGAGGAAUACCAGAGGCGAAGGCGGCUACCUGGACAAUUGCUGACGCUCAGGCACGAAAGCGUGGGGAGCAAAAGGGAUUAGAUACCCGUGUAGUCC
This 292-nucleotide ribosomal RNA is filed under the name uncultured bacterium. Its description in RNAcentral is "partial 16S ribosomal RNA". It matches the Rfam family "Bacterial small subunit ribosomal RNA", at positions 505 to 796 of the family's 1533-position model. The record is from RNAcentral.